RNAcentral lists this transfer RNA (75 nucleotides) under Planctomycetota bacterium. RNAcentral's name for it is "Planctomycetes bacterium (microbial mat metagenome) tRNA-His". It matches the Rfam family "tRNA". Rfam says of the family: Transfer RNA (tRNA) molecules are approximately 80 nucleotides in length. Their secondary structure includes four short double-helical elements and three loops (D, anti-codon, and T loops). Further hydrogen bonds mediate the characteristic L-shaped molecular structure. tRNAs have two regions of fundamental functional importance: the anti-codon, which is responsible for specific mRNA codon recognition, and the 3' end, to which the tRNAs corresponding amino acid is attached (by aminoacyl-tRNA synthetases). tRNAs cope with the degeneracy of the genetic code in two manners: having more than one tRNA (with a specific anti-codon) for a particular amino acid; and 'wobble' base-pairing, i.e. permitting non-standard base-pairing at the 3rd anti-codon position. Lineage: Bacteria; Pseudomonadati; Planctomycetota. The record is from RNAcentral. RNAcentral also lists the same sequence under 1 other name.
GCGACUGUAGCUCAGUGGUAGAGCACUCGGUUGUGGUCCGAGUUGUCGUGGGUUCGAUCCCCAUCAGUCGCCCCA